Molecule: ribosomal RNA, 640 nt
Filed under: Mycena galericulata
Lineage: Eukaryota; Fungi; Basidiomycota; Agaricomycetes; Agaricales; Mycenaceae
Description: eukaryotic LSU rRNA
Rfam family: 5.8S ribosomal RNA (bases 219-372)
Source: RNAcentral
GGCCUCUUCACAGGGCAUGUGCUCGUCCCAUCUAUUUAUCUUCUCUUGUGCACCUUUUGUAGUCUUUUUGAAUGAACAGCAGUUAUUGGAGCGUGAGCGCGCAAGCGCACUGCACCUGUCUGUCUUGCUUUCUUCAGAGGGACUACGUUUUCAUAUACACUAUAAAGUUACAGAAUGUCUUUUAACGAUUGUGCUUGUCGCAGUCAUUAAACCUAUACAACUUUCAGCAACGGAUCUCUUGGCUCUCCCAUCGAUGAAGAACGCAGCGAAAUGCGAUAAGUAAUGUGAAUUGCAGAAUUCAGUGAAUCAUCGAAUCUUUGAACGCACCUUGCGCCCUUUGGUAUUCCGAAGGGCAUGCCUGUUUGAGUGUCAUUAAAUUAUCAACCUUGCUUUGCUUUUACCAGCAUUGCUCGGCUUGGAUGUGGGGGUUUUUGCUGGCUUCCUUCAGUGGAUGGUCUGCUCCCCUUAAAUGCAUUAGUGGGAUCUCUUGUGGACCGUCACUUGGUGUGAUAAUUAUCUAUGCCAUGCGACUUUGAAGCAAACUUUAUGGGAACCUGCUUAUAACCGUCCCUCACAAGGACAACUUAUUGACAUUUUGACCUCAAAUCAGGUAGGACUACCCGCUGAACUUAAGCAUAUC